This 662-nucleotide unclassified non-coding RNA is filed under the name Hevea brasiliensis (rubber tree). Lineage: Eukaryota; Viridiplantae; Streptophyta; Magnoliopsida; Malpighiales; Euphorbiaceae. The record is from RNAcentral.
GGGACAGAUUAUAUUAAGAGUAAUAGAUUUACAGUAGAGAACAAACACACUAGACAAUGAAAGCGAAAGAAAAAAACAAUACCUACAAAAGGUCCCACUAAUAGCAACUGAACUGAACGCCAAAUAUCUAGUUUCUCUGGGGUUGCUGGAUCAAGUGUUGGAAAUCGCCACUAGCAUGAACUUCCUUGACCUGUUUGUCGUACUCAUCUUCGUCUUCUUCCUCUUCCACCUCAGGUUCAUCUUCGUUUUCCUCUUUGGCUUCCUCAUCGUCCUCUUCUUGUGCCCAUCCGAAGCCAGGUAUUGACCUUGACGAUGGUGGCGGAGCUCUGGCCUCACUGACGAUCUUCAUUAUGUCCUCGAUGCUCUGGAGGGAGUAGGUGGGAGCGCUGCUGUCACGCCUGUAGUACACUGCCUGCGCUGUCUCUGUAAGCUCCCUCGGUAAAUUCUUCAGGAACCAGGGGUGGUUCUUUAUUUCCCUUAUCGAUAUCCUCCUCAUUGGGUUAGCAACGAAAAUGCGUGAAAGGAGCUGCUUGCAAUCCUGGGAAACAUGGACAUAAUCGGGUAUCUUGUACUGGACCGACAUAAUUCUCCCAAUGGUUUUCCGGAAAUUCUUGGGAUCAUCUUGGUCCUCAAAAGGAUAGGCGCCGACCAGCAUCACAUAC